This 463-nucleotide ribosomal RNA is filed under the name uncultured bacterium. RNAcentral describes it as "partial 16S ribosomal RNA". It matches the Rfam family "Bacterial small subunit ribosomal RNA", at positions 29 to 507 of the family's 1533-position model. The record is from RNAcentral.
AGUGAACGCUGGCGGCGUGCCUAAUACAUGCAAGUCGAACGAUGAAGUCCUAGCUUGCUAGGAUGGAUUAGUGGCGCACGGGUGAGUAAUAUAUAGUUAAUCUGCCCUACACAGAGGAACAACAGUUGGAAACGACUGCUAAUACCUCAUACUCCUAUUUGACAUAAGUUAAAUAGGGAAAGUCUUUUCGGUGUAGGAUGAGACUAUAUCGUAUCAGCUAGUUGGUAAGGUAAUGGCUUACCAAGGCUAUGACGCGUAACUGGUCUGAGAGGAUGAUCAGUCACAUUGGAACUGAGACACGGCCCAAACUCCUACGGGAGGCAGCAGUAAGGAAUAUUGCGCAAUGGGGGAAACCCUGACGCAGCAACGCCGCGUGGAGGAUGACACUUUUCGGAGCGUAAACUCCUUUUAUCAGGAAAGAAUAAUGACGGUACCUGAUGAAUAAGCACCGGCUAACUCCGUG